UACGUAGGGCGCAAGCGUUGCUCGGAAUCACUGGGCGUAAAGCGCACGUAGGCGGCUUGUUAAGUCAGGGGUGAAAUCCUGGAGCUCAACUCCAGAACUGCCUUUGAUACUGGCGAUCUUGAGUCCGGGAGAGGUGAGUGGAACUGCGAGUGUAGAGGUGAAAUUCGUAGAUAUUCGCAAGAACACCAGUGGCGAAGGCGGCUCACUGGCCCGGUACUGACGCUGAGGUGCGAAAGCGUGGGGAGCAAACAGG
This 253-nucleotide ribosomal RNA is filed under the name uncultured bacterium. RNAcentral describes it as "partial 16S ribosomal RNA". It matches the Rfam family "Bacterial small subunit ribosomal RNA", at positions 524 to 776 of the family's 1533-position model. The record is from RNAcentral.